Long non-coding RNA from Oncorhynchus masou masou (cherry salmon), 1190 nucleotides. RefSeq lists it as uncharacterized. NCBI's taxonomy places the organism in Eukaryota, Metazoa, Chordata, Actinopteri, Salmoniformes, Salmonidae. The transcript has 3 exons. The record is from RefSeq and is a predicted model, not a curated record.
GGUCGAGCCUCACGAGCCAGAUGAAGCUAGCUGACUGCUUAUAACGUUAGCUUUGGGCUAGAGGGUUAAGUAGUUGGCUAGCUAACUGAAGUUCAAUUUAAAUAAGCGAAGAACAUGUGGCUACCUAGCUAAUACUUAUUCACAAGGAUUCCUAAAUAAUUGCUAAGAAUGAUGAAAAUGACUGCAGUUUCUACUGGUCUUUGUUUUCAGGCUGGUUGUAUUGGUGUUAGCUAGGUAACUUUACCAAGCGAAUGCUAGAACGUUUCCAAUAGGAUCUCGCUAGCUCGUGCUUGGCUCUGCCCACCUCCUUGCUUGUUCUCCCCACUAUGACUCGUUUGUUCCCAUUGGAAACGACAUGUAGCGGUCUAACUUGGUUUGUCUUUGCGUAACCCUUAUACAAAUGUUAACUUUCAACUUCAAUGGGGGUGGGGACAUCCCUAGGAUUCCGAUUAACACGGACCCUGAAAGAAGGAAAAGAAGUGACAUCUGGUAAAAUUAAAAGGGAGUAAUAUCCGGCAUUCUUCUGUAUUAAACCAUCAAUAUUUGGUCUCUGUAAACAGAUAGUUUUUCCUGUGUGUAUUUCAUCAAACUUCCUCAAUACACACAAGUCCAUACAUCGUGCAAUCGCAUUGGGCCAAAUCACAAAUUCACCCCCUUCUGAAGAUGAGAUGCUGCAUGCUAAAUUGGUACCCUAAAAAUAAAUAUUAGUUAGGUAGCUACCUCGUCUCUCUACUUUUAGAAAGGAGCUAACUAUGACUCUUAAAUAUAAUCUACUCAACCCUAUACUGAGCGUAUUUCCGUUAGUUUGUAUAGUUUUAAUAUGAUUUACUUGUAACUUUCAGUUUUGUCAAGCUAGUGAAGUCAGACCAGAAAAUGUCUUGUUUGGGGUCAAGGGCUAGACCCUAAAGUCGUUUUGCCCGGUCGAUCCAGGCUGUCAACUCAGCUGGGGAAAACUUCUCUCCAGGUAGACUCGUUCAGAAGCAGCAUGUCCGCAUCCACACCCACCUUCCCCUGGACAGAGGCGAUGGUUCCUUUCUGAUGAGGAAUUCUCAAUUGGCCAUGGAGGGGAGAGUGACCAAACUCAGCAUGCAUCCACAGAAAUGCACAAGAAGGCCACACUAGCUAAAGGUGCUAGCAAUAUCGUCUACUGCGGAAAAUGAUGUUCUGCCUCCUAUGGAAGGUGAGCCCGU